GACGAACGCUGGCGGCGUGCUUAACACAUGCAAGUCGAACGAAGAGCGAUGGAAGCUUGCUUCUAUCAAUCUUAGUGGCGAACGGGUGAGUAACGCGUAAUCAACCUGCCCUUCAGAGGGGGACAACAGUUGGAAACGACUGCUAAUACCGCAUACGAUCUAAUCUCGGCAUCGAGGAUAGAUGAAAGGUGGCCUCUACAUGUAAGCUAUCACUGAAGGAGGGGAUUGCGUCUGAUUAGCUAGUUGGCGGGGUAACGGCCCACCAAGGCGAUGAUCAGUAGCCGGUCUGAGAGGAUGAACGGCCACAUUGGGACUGAGACACGGCCCAGACUCCUACGGGAGGCAGCAGUGGGGAAUCUUCCGCAAUGGACGAAAGUCUGACGGAGCAACGCCGCGUGAGUGAUGACGGCCUUCGGGUUGUAAAGCUCUGUUAAUCGGGACGAAAGGCCUUCUUGCGAAUAGUGAGAAGGAUUGACGGUACCGGAAUAGAAAGCCACGGCUAACUACGUG
RNAcentral lists this ribosomal RNA (510 nucleotides) under uncultured bacterium. RNAcentral's name for it is "partial 16S ribosomal RNA". It matches the Rfam family "Bacterial small subunit ribosomal RNA", at positions 28 to 507 of the family's 1533-position model. The record is from RNAcentral.